RNAcentral lists this ribosomal RNA (118 nucleotides) under Acidilobales archaeon. Lineage: Archaea; Thermoproteati; Thermoproteota; Thermoprotei; Acidilobales. The record is from RNAcentral.
GCCCCGGCCAUAGCGGCUGGGCAACACCCGGACUCGUCAGAUCCCGGAAGUUAAGCCAGCCGCGUUGGGCUGGGCUGUAAGGUCCGAGAGGCCUUGCAGCCCACCCAAGCUGGGAGCU